UACGUAGGGUGCAAGCGUUGUCCGGAAUUAUUGGGCGUAAAGAGCUCGUAGGCGGUCUGUCGCGUCUGGUGUGAAAAUCCAGGGCUUAACCCUGGACCUGCAUCGGAUACGGGCAGACUAGAGUGCGGUAGGGGAGAUCGGAAUUCCUGGUGUAGCGGUGAAAUGCGCAGAUAUCAGGAGGAACACCGGUGGCGAAGGCGGAUCUCUGGGCCGUAACUGACGCUGAGGAGCGAAAGCAUGGGGAGCGAACAGG
This 253-nucleotide ribosomal RNA is filed under the name uncultured bacterium. RNAcentral describes it as "partial 16S ribosomal RNA". It matches the Rfam family "Bacterial small subunit ribosomal RNA", at positions 524 to 776 of the family's 1533-position model. The record is from RNAcentral.